UACGGAGGGUGCGAGCGUUGUCCGGAAUCAUUGGGCGUAAAGGGCGCGUAGGUGGCCCGGUCAGCGUGCGGUGAAAGCUCGGGGCUCAACCCCGAGUCGGCCGUGCGAACUGCUGGGCUCGAGCACUGUAGAGGCAGGCGGAAUUCCGGGUGUAGCGGUGGAAUGCGUAGAGAUCCGGAAGAGCACCGGUGGCGAAGGCGGCCUGCUGGGCAGUGGCUGACACUGAGGCGCGACAGCGUGGGGAGCAAACAGG
This 253-nucleotide ribosomal RNA is filed under the name uncultured bacterium. RNAcentral's name for it is "partial 16S ribosomal RNA". It matches the Rfam family "Bacterial small subunit ribosomal RNA", at positions 524 to 776 of the family's 1533-position model. The record is from RNAcentral.